This 486-nucleotide ribosomal RNA is filed under the name uncultured bacterium. Its description in RNAcentral is "bacterial SSU rRNA". It matches the Rfam family "Bacterial small subunit ribosomal RNA", at positions 28 to 507 of the family's 1533-position model. The record is from RNAcentral.
GACGAACGCUGGCGGCGUGCUUAACACAUGCAAGUCGAACGGUGACGAGGAGCUUGCUCCUCUGAUCAGUGGCGAACGGGUGAGUAACACGUGAGCAACCUGCCCCAGACUCUGGGAUAACAGUUGGAAACAGCUGCUAAUACCGGAUACGAGACGGAGAGGCAUCUCUACCGUCUGGAAAGUUUUUCGGUCUGGGAUGGACUCGCGGCCUAUCAGCUAGUUGGUGGGGUAAAGGCCUACCAAGGCUACGAUCUGUAGUUGGUCUGAGAGGACGACCAGCCACACUGGGACUGAGACACGGCCCAGACUCCUACGGGAGGCAGCAGUGGGGAAUUUUGGACAAUGGGCGCAAGCCUGAUCCAGCAAUGCCGCGUGCAGGAAGAAGGCCUUCGGGUUGUAAACUGCUUUUGUCAGGGAAGAAAUCUUCUGGGCUAAUACCCCGGGAGGAUGACGGUACCUGAAGAAUAAGCACCGGCUAACUACGUG